Myodes glareolus (Bank vole) is the source of this 1929-nucleotide long non-coding RNA. RefSeq lists it as uncharacterized. The record is from RefSeq and is a predicted model, not a curated record. Lineage: Eukaryota; Metazoa; Chordata; Mammalia; Rodentia; Cricetidae.
UGUUAAUAGUCAGGCAUCUGUACUGGCCAGCCCUUAGGAUCCUGGCAGGAUGUGCCUCCCUCCCCCUCUACCUCUCUCUUCUCUUCUGGCACCAGUCCCCAGAGGCCAGAGUCCCCCUCCCCCACCCCACUUUACCAUUCCCUUUCCCCCAAUAAAAACGCCUCCACGUGAGCUCUGUUGCAGGGCAUGACUCUCUCUCCCGCCGUUUUUAAAUUGUAACAGGAGGUGAUAAGAGGAAGAGGAGACAGCUAAGAAGAUGGAGACGAAAACACGGAGAGCACGGAGUCGACAUUCCCAAGAGGCGAGUGCUGCCAGCGUCAAAUGCUACAAAGAACGGGGAGCUGGAGAGUGUGUGCGGGACCUAGUGAUUGGCUUCCAACUCUCUACACUGCCAAGAAAGAAGAUAAACUUCUAAUCCUCCUGUGUGAGCCACUGCACCAAGUUUAUGCCAUGCAGGGGGUGGAUCCCAGGGCGUGAAUCCCAGGGUACCAUACAUGUUUACAAGCACUGAGCUACAUCUCCAGUUACUCUUUUACAAAAAAAAUUAUUUUACUCUGUGUGUGUGCGCUCCCAUGAGGAGGUCAAAGGAACACCUGUGAAAAGGGGUUUCUCCUUCUACGAAGUGGGUCCCAGCUAUCCGGUGCUGAAACUCAGGUCACUGGCUUCACAGCAGGGGUGUUUCUCGGAGCCAUCUCUUCAGUUCCCUCUAGCCAGCUUUUUGGUUUUAAAUAAACAGCUCAGCAGGUGGUAAGGAGGCCCCUCUUCACCGUGAGCACCCUGUCGCACAGGAAGGAGUGCCUGGAGGCUUGAAUGACCCCUUUGAUAGCGCUCCCUCCCCUGACAGCAACCUCUCUAAUGAAGAGAAGGCAGCCAGGAUUUCCAGGGAGCAGGGGCGGGGGAAUUCAGCGUCUGCUCCUGCCAUUUCUCCCGCCUCCCCCCCCCACUGCGUCCUGGGAAGACAGGUGACACCAACAGGCCUGAGGACCUGGAAAAGGAUGAACCUGGCACCAAGUCGCAAGGUUGCAGAAGAGAGCUUAGCUGAAAGAGAAGCCAGAGGAAGGAGAAUACAUAGGACAGGGCUAGGUCAGGGGCAAGUUCAGAGUUAGGAGGCUAGACUGGGAGGAGGAAUUGAAGUUAAUGCUGAGGUGGAGGCCUCAGGGAGUCGCUGGCAGAGCGGAGAGGUGGGGAGUGGAGGGUCGGUGGACCUCAGACGGGAAGGACGGGGACCGGCUUCCCGGCAGCGAUGCUCACCGGCAGGGGACCAGGUUACAGCAUUUCACCCACUUCAUCCUCGCCCCGCCCCCGUAGGCGUCCCGACAUGCGGGUUCUAGCAGACGUGGGCUACUUUACGGCAAAUCUUGUGCCUAGACCCUGUGGAGUGGGCAGAAGAGGUAGGGUCUAGAGGAACUCUUUCAAGCACUCGGAGCCGGUGCCAGCAGCCCAGACACCGUUCCCGCCCCGCCUCGCCCCGCCCCGCCCCGCCGGUGUUCCAGGCCACAGUCAGUGCAGCCCACAGCGGUUUCUGCUCCGCUGCAGCCUAUCUCCGGGCGUCUGUCCCCUUGUGCCCCACCAACUAAGAACGACUUCCCAGAGGACUUUCUCUCCCGGUCCAAGCUUUAGCCCUCUGCUUCCUGUGGGCCAAUGUACACCGUAGGUAAACAACUGGACCUGAGGAAGUUACUGCGCCUCUCUGCGCCCAGGGUUCUUCAAGCAUUGGGAAUGAAUGAGAGAAGGCCCUGCACACAGCACGCAGAGGGGACAGCUGAAGCUCAAGCAGCCAUGCUGGACCGAAAGGGAAAAGCUACUUGCUAAAGAUGACAGACAAUGGACAGAAAGACCUGCAGAGCUCCAUUGCGUUCUGGGAUCUCCUACCUCCAGGCUUCUGUGUCAGCAGAGAGAGAUAAACUGCUAUCUUGUUUAAGCCACAAA